GAUGAACGCUAGCGGCAGGCCUAAUACAUGCAAGUCGAGGGGUAGAGGGAGCUUGCUCCCUUGAGACCGGCGCACGGGUGCGUAACGCGUAUGCAACCUACCUCCAUCUGGGGGAUAGCCCGGAGAAAUCCGGAUUAACACCGCAUAAAACCACAGGACGGCAGUGUCCAAUGGUCAAACAUUCAUGGGAUGGGGAUGGGCAUGCGUGCCAUUAGCUAGUUGGCGGGGUAACGGCCCACCAAGGCGACGAUGGAUAGGGGAUCUGAGAGGAUGGCCCCCCACACUGGUACUGAGACACGGACCAGACUCCUACGGGAGGCAGCAGUAAGGAAUAUUGGUCAAUGGAGGCAACUCUGAACCAGCCAUGCCGCGUGCAGGAAGACGGCCCUCCGGGUUGUAAACUGCUUUUAUCCGGGAAUAAACCUGCCCACGUGUGGGCAGCUGAAUGUACCGGAGGAAUAAGGAUCGGCUAACUCCGUGCCAGCCGCCGCGGUAA
RNAcentral lists this ribosomal RNA (496 nucleotides) under uncultured bacterium. Its description in RNAcentral is "partial 16S ribosomal RNA". It matches the Rfam family "Bacterial small subunit ribosomal RNA", at positions 28 to 523 of the family's 1533-position model. The record is from RNAcentral.